GUAACGGCUCACCAGGCGACGACGGGUAGCCGCCUGAAAGGUGACCGCCACACUGGGACUGAGACACGGCCCAGACUCCUACGGGAGGCAGCAGUGGGAAUAUUGCACAAUGGGCGCAAGCCUGAUGCAGCGACGCCGCGUGAGGGAUGACGGCCUUCGAGUUGUAACCUCUUUCAGCAGGGAGAAGCGAAAGUGACGGUACCUGCAGAAGAAGCGCCGGCUAACUACGUGCCAGCAGCCGCGGUAAUACGUAGGGCGCGAGCGUUGUCCGGAAUUAUUGGGCGUAAAGAGCUUGUAGGCGGUUUGUCGCGUCUGCUGUGAAAGCCCGGGGCUUAACCCCGGGUUUGCAGUGGGUACGGGCAGACUAGAGUGCAGUAGGGGAGACUGGAAUUCCUGGUGUAGCGGUGAAAUGCGCAGAUAUCAGGAGGAACACCAAUGGCGAAGGCAGGUCUCUGGGCUGUAACUGACGCUGAGAAGCGAAAGCAUGGGGAGCGAACAGGAUUAGAUACCCUGGUAGUCCAUGCCGUAAACGUUGGGCACUAGGUGUGGGGAACAUUCCACGUUUUCCGCGCCGUAGCUAACGCAUUAAGUGCCCCGCCUGGGGAGUACGGCCGCAAGGCUAAAACUCAAAGAAAUUGACGGGGGCCCGCACAAGCGGCGGAGCAUGCGGAUUAAUUCGAUGCAACGCGAAGAACCUUACCAAGGCUUGACAUAUACUGGACCGCUCUAGAGAUAGAGUUUCCCUUUUAGGGCUGGUAUACAGGUGGUGCAUGGUUGUCGUCAGCUCGUGUCGUGAGAUGUUGGGUUAAGUCCCGCAACGAGCGCAACCCUCGUUCUAUGUUGCCAGCACGUAAUGGUGGGGACUCAUAGGAGACUGCCGGGGUUAACUCGGAGGAAGGUGGGGAUGACGUCAAAUCAUCAUGCCCCUUAUGUCUUGGGCUUCACGCAUGCUACAAUGGCCGGUACAAAGGGUUGCGAUACUGUGAGGUUGAGCUAAUCCCAAAAAGCCGGUCUCAGUUCGGAUUGGGGUCUGCAACUCGACCCCAUGAAGUCGGAGUCGCUAGUAAUCGCAGAUCAGCAACGCUGCGGUGAAUACGUUCCCGGGCCUUGUACACACCGCCCGUCAAGUCACGAAAGUUGGUAACACCCGAAGCCGAUGGCCUAACCCCUUGUGGAGGGAGUCGUCGAAGG
RNAcentral lists this ribosomal RNA (1191 nucleotides) under Rothia nasimurium. RNAcentral's name for it is "bacterial SSU rRNA". It matches the Rfam family "Bacterial small subunit ribosomal RNA", at positions 257 to 1462 of the family's 1533-position model. Lineage: Bacteria; Bacillati; Actinomycetota; Actinomycetes; Micrococcales; Micrococcaceae. The record is from RNAcentral.